GAUGAACGCUGGCGGCGUGCCUAAUACAUGCAAGUCGAGCGAACGGACGAGAAGCUUGCUUCUCUGAUGUUAGCGGCGGACGGGUGAGUAACACGUGGAUAACCUACCUAUAAGACUGGGAUAACUUCGGGAAACCGGAGCUAAUACCGGAUAAUAUUUUGAACCGCAUGGUUCAAAAGUGAAAGACGGUCUUGCUGUCACUUAUAGAUGGAUCCGCGCUGCAUUAGCUAGUUGGUAAGGUAACGGCUUACCAAGGCAACGAUGCAUAGCCGACCUGAGAGGGUGAUCGGCCACACUGGAACUGAGACACGGUCCAGACUCCUACGGGAGGCAGCAGUAGGGAAUCUUCCGCAAUGGGCGAAAGCCUGACGGAGCAACGCCGCGUGAGUGAUGAAGGUCUUCGGAUCGUAAAACUCUGUUAUUAGGGAAGAACAUAUGUGUAAGUAACUGUGCACAUCUUGACGGUACCUAAUCAGAAAGCCACGGCUAACUACGUGCCAGCAGCCGCGGUAAUACGUAGGUGGCAAGCGUUAUCCGGAAUUAUUGGGCGUAAAGCGCGCGUAGGCGGUUUUUUAAGUCUGAUGUGAAAGCCCACGGCUCAACCGUGGAGGGUCAUUGGAAACUGGAAAACUUGAGUGCAGAAGAGGAAAGUGGAAUUCCAUGUGUAGCGGUGAAAUGCGCAGAGAUAUGGAGGAACACCAGUGGCGAAGGCGACUUUCUGGUCUGUAACUGACGCUGAUGUGCGAAAGCGUGGGGAUCAAACAGGAUUAGAUACCCUGGUAGUCCACGCCGUAAACGAUGAGUGCUAAGUGUUAGGGGGUUUCCGACCCUUAGUGCUGCAGCUAACGCAUUAAGCACUCCGCCUGGGGAGUACGACCGCAAGGUUGAAACUCAAAGGAAUUGACGGGGACCCGCACAAGCGGUGGAGCAUGUGGUUUAAUUCGAAGCAACGCGAAGAACCUUACCAAAUCUUGACAUCCUUUGACAACUCUAGAGAUAGAGCCUUCCCCUUCGGGGGACAAAGUGACAGGUGGUGCAUGGUUGUCGUCAGCUCGUGUCGUGAGAUGUUGGGUUAAGUCCCGCAACGAGCGCAACCCUUAAGCUUAGUUGCCAUCAUUAAGUUGGGCACUCUAAGUUGACUGCCGGUGACAAACCGGAGGAAGGUGGGGAUGACGUCAAAUCAUCAUGCCCCUUAUGAUUUGGGCUACACACGUGCUACAAUGGACAAUACAAAGGGCAGCGAAACCGCGAGGUCAAGCAGAUCCCAUAAAGUUGUUCUCAGUUCGGAUUGUAGUCUGCAACUCGACUACAUGAAGCUGGAAUCGCUAGUAAUCGUAGAUCAGCAUGCUACGGUGAAUACGUUCCCGGGUCU
This 1372-nucleotide ribosomal RNA is filed under the name uncultured bacterium. RNAcentral's name for it is "bacterial SSU rRNA". It matches the Rfam family "Bacterial small subunit ribosomal RNA", at positions 28 to 1381 of the family's 1533-position model. The record is from RNAcentral.